RNAcentral lists this ribosomal RNA (586 nucleotides) under uncultured bacterium. RNAcentral's name for it is "bacterial SSU rRNA". It matches the Rfam family "Bacterial small subunit ribosomal RNA", at positions 215 to 810 of the family's 1533-position model. The record is from RNAcentral.
UCGCCUAGGGAUUUCUCGAUGUAGGCUCAGGUUGUUGGGGAGGUAAUAGCUCCCCAAGCCGACGACCCUUCGCCGGUCUUCGCGGACGAUCGGCCACAUGGGGACUGAGACAAGGCCCCAACGUUUCUACGGCAGCAGUGUGGAAUCUUGGGCAAUGGGGGCAACCCUGACCCAGCUAUGUCGCGAGGGCGAGAACGGCUGUAAACGGUAUCAGGUCGUAAAGCUCUGUCGGCAGGGGGGAGAAUGACGUACCCUGCGGAAGCUAGCUCCGGCCAACCUCGUGCCAGCAGCCGCGGUAAUACGAGGGGAGCGAGUGUUCUACGGUCAAACUGGGCGUAAAGGGUUCUCCGGCGGAAAUGGGUGUGUAGGGUGGGAGCAUUCCGCCUGUUAAGCGGGAUCGUCCCCUAAACUCCAUUUCAUGAGUUGGAGCGGCGAGGGCGGAAGUCCAGGACGAGCGUUAGCAUGCUUAGACGCCUGGAGGACGGCCAUGGGCGCAGGCCUCCCUCGAGCUCCGACUGACGCUUCGGAACGAAAGCGUGGGGAGCGAUCGGGAUUAGAGACCCCGGUAGUCCACGCCCUGAUCGAU